This is a long non-coding RNA of Ochlerotatus camptorhynchus, 598 nucleotides long. RefSeq lists it as uncharacterized. NCBI's taxonomy places the organism in Eukaryota, Metazoa, Arthropoda, Insecta, Diptera, Culicidae. The record is from RefSeq and is a predicted model, not a curated record. The transcript is spliced from 2 exons.
GUUGCUUGUUGCUUAUUGAAAUAUAUUGUGUUCGAAAAACAUCUUUUUGCUGUUUUUUUGUGUGUUAGCAGUAAUGCCCGUUGUGUGCUGCGUCAUAACGUGUAAACGCAAUAAUGUGAAGCACGAAGAACGUUUUUUCAACUUCCCGCAACCGCGGAAAAAUUCAACAAGUUUGAACAGAGAUCACAUGUUGAGACGGUCAUUUAAAUGGAUAAAAGCUUGCGGAUGUUUGCCGAAGGCGAACAUGCGAAUCUGCGGAAGGCAUUUCGUAAAAGGACAACCGGCGGAUCUAGAAGAUAUAAAUGACAUCGACUGGAUUCCAACGUUGUUCCUCCCGCAACGUUCAAAUAGCGAAGUCGAAAAAAUCACUACCAGAAAUACAGAAAUCCAACCCUCGAACUCCGGAAAUAUAUCGGCCGAACCAGAACUCGCUUCCAAUCACGUUUUGCUUGACCAUGAUGAUGAAAAAUUGGAAGGAGAUUCAUUUGAGAUCGUUACAAAUGCGCUUAAUUAACGAUAGUGAUGGUUUAGUAACGCUGGUACGUAGCACUUCCUUCAAAAUCGAAGCUGUGAUACGACCAAUACGAAAUUUUUUCCA